UACAGAGGGUGCGAGCGUUAAUCGGAAUUACUGGGCGUAAAGGGUGCGUAGGCGGAUAGCUAAGUUAGAUGUGAAAUCCCCGGGCUUAACCUGGGAAUUGCAUUUAAGACUGGUUGACUAGAGUAGAGUAGAGGGAAGUGGAAUUUCCGGUGUAGCGGUGAAAUGCGUAGAUAUCGGAAAGAACAUCAGUGGCGAAGGCGGCUUCCUGGACUCAUACUGACGCUGAGGCACGAAAGCGUGGGGAGCAAACAGG
RNAcentral lists this ribosomal RNA (253 nucleotides) under uncultured bacterium. Its description in RNAcentral is "partial 16S ribosomal RNA". It matches the Rfam family "Bacterial small subunit ribosomal RNA", at positions 524 to 776 of the family's 1533-position model. The record is from RNAcentral.